AUGGGCAGUAACGAUGCCCUUACGGCCGGCCCGGUCACAGAAAAAGAAAAAGAAGGAGCUUCCGCACCGGCGGCCACUACCACACCACACGCCAACAUACCGGAGAUUAUGUCCUCGCUGCCCACGGCGGCAGGGUUCCCCCCCUUCCAGUUGCGCCGGUACGGCGGCUUCUGGCUGACCGACAGAUAUCUGGAGUUUAUCGGCGCGGGCGCGUUCCACGCCCGCUUCAAGCCGAGGCCGACCGACGUGCUCCUCGCGAGUUUCCCCAAGUCUGGAACCACCUGGCUCAAGGCACUCGGCUUCUGCGCGCUCAACCGCGUGGCCCACCCGCCGUCUGCUGGUUCCGGCCACCCGCUCCACUGCGGCAGCCCCCACGACCUGGUGCGCUUCGUCGAGGGCCAUGAUGAUCUGCUAUACGAGGAGCUCCCUCAUCCCCGGCUGCUAGCCACCCACCUACCCUACUCGUUGCUGCCCGACGGUGUCACGGGCAAGGAGGACGGCUCCGGCGGCCGGAUCGUGUACGUCUGCCGGGACCCCAAGGACACGCUGGUUUCCUUCUGGCACUUCCACCAGAAGACCACGUCGGUGUUGCAGCAGGUGCCCGGCAUGAGCGCGUCGUCCCCCGCCAUGCCCACUUUCGAGGAGGCGUUUGAGCUCUUCUGCCAGGGCCAGACGGUGACGGGGUGCCUGAAGAAGAUGGCGUCCUUCAUGGGGUGCCCCUUCUCGCCGGAGGAGGAGGCGGCCGGGGUGGUGCGGGAGGUCGUGGAGCUCUGCAGCUUGGGUAAGCUCAAGGGGCUGCAGGUGAACAAGAGCGGAAGCACGGUGCUGGGGAUUAAGAACGAGGCAUUCUUCAGGAGCGGGACGGUGGGGGAUUGGAGUAGCUGCAUGACUCCGGCCAUGGCGGCACAGCUGGACGGGAUCGUCGCGGAGGCGCUCAGGGGCUCCACGCUCACCUUUGGGCCUUUGGCACCUCCAAUAAUUUGUGAGCCUGGCUUCCUAUAA
This 1002-nucleotide ribosomal RNA is filed under the name Triticum aestivum (bread wheat). Its description in RNAcentral is "partial small subunit ribosomal RNA". Lineage: Eukaryota; Viridiplantae; Streptophyta; Magnoliopsida; Poales; Poaceae. The record is from RNAcentral.